RNAcentral lists this long non-coding RNA (1074 nucleotides) under Monodelphis domestica (gray short-tailed opossum). RNAcentral's name for it is "lncRNA (ENSMODG00000042983.1)". Lineage: Eukaryota; Metazoa; Chordata; Mammalia; Didelphimorphia; Didelphidae. The record is from RNAcentral.
AUGGAAGUUCUCGGGCCCCGCUGCCUUUCUCAGCCGCAGUCCGUCCAGCGCGGGGAAGGAGCUGGCCCCAGCGGCUGCCACCAAGGGCGGCGGCCUGGAGGAGGCGGCAGCGCCGGGGGCCGGGGCUGGGCCCGGCCUGGCCGCUGUGCUGGGCGCUUGCGAACCCGUUUGUGCCAGCCCCUGCUCCUUGCAGCUGAUGAGCCGCUGCCGAGGGGCAGCUGGGGCCCGCCAGGCCGGAACCGGGGCAGGGGCGCGGGGGGUCGGGCCCGGGGCGCGAGCACCGCAGGCUGGCGACGAGUGGAGUCGCAAGGGCAGCUUUAUCCACAAGCCCCCGCAGGGCUGGCUGCACCCGGACGACAGGGUCCUAGGGCCUGGGGUCUCCUACAUCGUGCGGGGUCUGACUCUCAGAAGGAAACCUCACUUACCCCCAAGUUGCCACCAUGUCCCCUGAGAGAAGAGGACACCCACAAGUAUAGGGUUAGAUACUCUUUUGACUUCCCUUCCCUACAGGUAUCCUCUUUCUUAAUCCCAGUUAGGCCUGAAACCAGGAAAAAAGGCAUAGUCGGGAGGGUGGGGCCUCCAGCCAGUCUCAAAGGGGCUUUUUGGAUCCCCUUUUUCCUGCAGGAAGACCCUCAUCAGGUCAGACUCAUUGUCUAGAAGGGGACACCACUGUAGAAAAGACAAAACCUUAGAAUCUAUGUAUCAUGGAGUGUUGGCAGCUUCUAUUAUCCCUGUUCCCAUGUUCAACCUCUUUCCUUUUCACUGGGAUCUUCUUGUGUGAUUUGGGAUUCUCCCAGCAUGCACCUUUGACCACCUGCCUCCCUUUAACUUCAAAUCAACAAACAUUUAUAUGUAUCUACUCUAUCCAGGCACUAGGUAGAUGAAAACAAAAAAUAGACCCAUCUCUUUCCUCAGAAGCUAGUUUAGAAGCCUGAAAAAGGCGUUCUCUCUCUCUCUCUCUCUCUCUCUCUCUCUCUCUCUCUCUCUCUCCUCUCUCUCUUCUCUCUCUCUCUCUCUCUCCCCCCUCUCUUUCUCUCUCUCUCCUCUCUCUCUCCUCUCUCUCUCUCCUCUCUC